GGAGGAUGCGAGCGNNAUCCGGAUNUANNGGGUNUAAAGGGAGCGCAGACGGGUCGUUAAGUCAGCNGUGAAAGNNUGGGGCUCAACCUNAAAANNGCAGUNGAUACUGGCGNCCUNGAGUGCGGUNGAGGUGUGCGGAAUUCGUGGUGUAGCGGUGAAAUGCUUAGAUAUCACGAAGAACUCCGAUUGCGAAGGCAGCUCACUGGAGCGCAACUGACGCUGAAGCUCGAAAGUGCGGGUAUCGAACAGGAUUAGAUACCCUGGUAGUCCGCACGGUAAACGAUGGAUGCCCGCUGUUGGUCUGAACAGGUCAGCGGCCAAGCGAAAGCAUUAAGCAUCCCACCUGGGGAGU
RNAcentral lists this ribosomal RNA (352 nucleotides) under uncultured bacterium. RNAcentral's name for it is "partial 16S ribosomal RNA". It matches the Rfam family "Bacterial small subunit ribosomal RNA", at positions 527 to 881 of the family's 1533-position model. The record is from RNAcentral.